This 460-nucleotide ribosomal RNA is filed under the name uncultured bacterium. RNAcentral describes it as "partial 16S ribosomal RNA". It matches the Rfam family "Bacterial small subunit ribosomal RNA", at positions 338 to 795 of the family's 1533-position model. The record is from RNAcentral.
CCUACGGGAGGCAGCAGUGAGGAAUAUUGGUCAAUGGACGAGAGUCUGAACCAGCCAAGUAGCGUGAAGGAUGACUGCCCUAUGGGUUGUAAACUUCUUUUAUAAAGGAAUAAAACGAGGCACGUGUGCCUUUUUGCAUGUACUUUAUGAAUAAGGAUCGGCUAACUCCGUGCCAGCAGCCGCGGUAAUACGGAGGAUCCGAGCGUUAUCCGGAUUUAUUGGGUUUAAAGGGAGCGUAGAUGGGUUGUUAAGUCAGUUGUGAAAGUUUGCGGCUCAACCGUAAAAUUGCAAUUGAUACUGGGAGUCUUGAGUACAGUUGAGGUAGGCGGAAUUCGUGGUGUAGCGGUGAAAUGCGUAGAUAUCACGAAGAACCCCGAUUGCGAAGGCAGCUUACUAAACUGUGACUGACAUUGAUGCUCGAAAGUGUGGGUAUCAAACAGGAUUAGAUACCCCAGUAGUC